UUAAGCGACUAAGCGUACACGGUGGAUGCCCUGGCAGUCAGAGGCGAUGAAGGACGUGCUAAUCUGCGAUAAGCGUCGGUGAGGUGAUAUGAACCGUUAUAACCGGCGAUUUCCGAAUGGGGAAACCCAGUGUGUUUCGACACACUAUCAUUAACUGAAUCCAUAGGUUAAUGAGGCGAACCGGGGGAACUGAAACAUCUAAGUACCCCGAGGAAAAGAAAUCAACCGAGAUUCCCCCAGUAGCGGCGAGCGAACGGGGAGGAGCCCAGAGCCUGAAUCAGUGUGUGUGUUAGUGGAAGCGUCUGGAAAGGCGCGCGAUACAGGGUGACAGCCCCGUACACAAAAAUGCACAUAUUGUGAGCUCGAUGAGUAGGGCGGGACACGUGGUAUCCUGUCUGAAUAUGGGGGGACCAUCCUCCAAGGCUAAAUACUCCUGACUGACCGAUAGUGAACCAGUACCGUGAGGGAAAGGCGAAAAGAACCCCGGCGAGGGGAGUGAAAAAGAACCUGAAACCGUGUACGUACAAGCAGUGGGAGCCUCUUAAUGGGGUGACUGCGUACCUUUUGUAUAAUGGGUCAGCGACUUAUAUUCUGUAGCAAGGUUAACCGAAUAGGGGAGCCGAAGGGAAACCGAGUCUUAACUGGGCGUUAAGUUGCAGGGUAUAGACCCGAAACCCGGUGAUCUAGCCAUGGGCAGGUUGAAGGUUGGGUAACACUAACUGGAGGACCGAACCGACUAAUGUUGAAAAAUUAGCGGAUGACUUGUGGCUGGGGGUGAAAGGCCAAUCAAACCGGGAGAUAGCUGGUUCUCCCCGAAAGCUAUUUAGGUAGCGCCUCGUGAAUUCAUCUCCGGGGGUAGAGCACUGUUUCGGCAAGGGGGUCAUCCCGACUUACCAACCCGAUGCAAACUGCGAAUACCGGAGAAUGUUAUCACGGGAGACACACGGCGGGUGCUAACGUCCGUCGUGAAGAGGGAAACAACCCAGACCGCCAGCUAAGGUCCCAAAGUCAUGGUUAAGUGGGAAACGAUGUGGGAAGGCCCAGACAGCCAGGAUGUUGGCUUAGAAGCAGCCAUCAUUUAAAGAAAGCGUAAUAGCUCACUGGUCGAGUCGGCCUGCGCGGAAGAUGUAACGGGGCUAAACCAUGCACCGAAGCUGCGGCAGCGACACUAUGUGUUGUUGGGUAGGGGAGCGUUCUGUAAGCCUGUGAAGGUGGCCUGUGAGGGUUGCUGGAGGUAUCAGAAGUGCGAAUGCUGACAUAAGUAACGAUAAAGCGGGUGAAAAGCCCGCUCGCCGGAAGACCAAGGGUUCCUGUCCAACGUUAAUCGGGGCAGGGUGAGUCGACCCCUAAGGCGAGGCCGAAAGGCGUAGUCGAUGGGAAACAGGUUAAUAUUCCUGUACUUGGUGUUACUGCGAAGGGGGGACGGAGAAGGCUAUGUUGGCCGGGCGACGGUUGUCCCGGUUUAAGCGUGUAGGCUGGUUUUCCAGGCAAAUCCGGAAAAUCAAGGCUGAGGCGUGAUGACGAGGCACUACGGUGCUGAAGCGACAAAUGCCCUGCUUCCAGGAAAAGCCUCUAAGCAUCAGGUAACAUCAAAUCGUACCCCAAACCGACACAGGUGGUCAGGUAGAGAAUACCAAGGCGCUUGAGAGAACUCGGGUGAAGGAACUAGGCAAAAUGGUGCCGUAACUUCGGGAGAAGGCACGCUGAUAUGUAGGUGAAGCGACUUGCUCGUGGAGCUGAAAUCAGUCGAAGAUACCAGCUGGCUGCAACUGUUUAUUAAAAACACAGCACUGUGCAAACACGAAAGUGGACGUAUACGGUGUGACGCCUGCCCGGUGCCGGAAGGUUAAUUGAUGGGGUUAGCGGUAACGCGAAGCUCUUGAUCGAAGCCCCGGUAAACGGCGGCCGUAACUAUAACGGUCCUAAGGUAGCGAAAUUCCUUGUCGGGUAAGUUCCGACCUGCACGAAUGGCGUAAUGAUGGCCAGGCUGUCUCCACCCGAGACUCAGUGAAAUUGAACUCGCUGUGAAGAUGCAGUGUACCCGCGGCAAGACGGAAAGACCCCGUGAACCUUUACUAUAGCUUGACACUGAACAUUGAGCCUUGAUGUGUAGGAUAGGUGGGAGGCUUUGAAGUGUGGACGCCAGUCUGCAUGGAGCCGACCUUGAAAUACCACCCUUUAAUGUUUGAUGUUCUAACGUGGGCCCCUUACCGGGGUUGCGGACAGUGUCUGGUGGGUAGUUUGACUGGGGCGGUCUCCUCCUAAAGAGUAACGGAGGAGCACGAAGGUUGGCUAAUCCUGGUCGGACAUCAGGAGGUUAGUGCAAUGGCAUAAGCCAGCUUGACUGCGAGCGUGACGGCGCGAGCAGGUGCGAAAGCAGGUCAUAGUGAUCCGGUGGUUCUGAAUGGAAGGGCCAUCGCUCAACGGAUAAAAGGUACUCCGGGGAUAACAGGCUGAUACCGCCCAAGAGUUCAUAUCGACGGCGGUGUUUGGCACCUCGAUGUC
RNAcentral lists this ribosomal RNA (2505 nucleotides) under metagenome. RNAcentral's name for it is "bacterial LSU rRNA". It matches the Rfam family "Bacterial large subunit ribosomal RNA", at positions 1 to 2533 of the family's 2925-position model. The record is from RNAcentral.